RNAcentral lists this ribosomal RNA (253 nucleotides) under uncultured bacterium. RNAcentral's name for it is "partial 16S ribosomal RNA". It matches the Rfam family "Bacterial small subunit ribosomal RNA", at positions 524 to 776 of the family's 1533-position model. The record is from RNAcentral.
UACAGAGGUCCCGAGCGUUGUUCGGAUUCAUUGGGCGUAAAGGGUGCGUAGGCGGCGGGGCAAGUCUGAUGUGAAAUCCCGGGGCUCAACCCCGGAACUGCAUUGGACACUGCCUUGCUUGAGUACUGGAGAGGGAACUGGAAUUUACGGUGUAGCAGUGAAAUGCGUAGAGAUCGUAAGGAAGGCCAGUGGCGAAGGCGAGUUCCUGGACAGUUACUGACGCUGAGGCACGAAGGCCAGGGGAGCAAACGGG